Long non-coding RNA from Cotesia glomerata, 635 nucleotides. RefSeq lists it as uncharacterized. The record is from RefSeq and is a predicted model, not a curated record. The transcript is spliced from 5 exons. NCBI's taxonomy places the organism in Eukaryota, Metazoa, Arthropoda, Insecta, Hymenoptera, Braconidae.
UUCCGAUUAUUUAUAUUUUAGGAGAAUGAAUCACCAAAAAAGGCGCGGGAGGUAAAUAUUACACCCGUUAAGAAAAUCAUACCGAUGCCUUCACAAACAAAACAAGUGAUUUUGCAAUCCAAAGAAGGCCCACAAAUUCUAGGAAUGCUAUAAGGGAUUCAUCAGAUUUUACAAUCCUUAGAUUCAAAAGUGACAGCGCAGAACCAAAAAAUCGAUGAUAAUGUUCAACGUUUAAAUAAUUUUAAAAUUCAACACUGGGGCCUUACAUUUUUUUCUGCAGAGAUUUGGAACAAACGGUGAAGACAUUUCAGUUGACUGCUCCCAGUACGGUAUUUCAGAAGCCUGCUUUCAUCCCUUUUAAAAACUUCAAAGAACUAAAAAAAUAUGAUGUGUUCGGAGGAGGAACGAGAAAAAUUGAGAAAAUGGUUGGAUUCAUUCAACAGAAGAACCAAUGUUACCGAGAAUGUAAGGGAGAUUCUGCGAGGUAACCGGCUGAUGACAGAUGACCUUCUGACCGAUGUAGUAUGGGAAGGCCAGAAUGGCAGAAAAAGUUCUAAAAAACAAAUAUUCCGUUUACGAAUAACGUACGAUUUACGACACGCUCUUCAAAAUAUGUAUCCGGAGAUGACAGAUGA